Long non-coding RNA from Capsicum annuum, 1439 nucleotides. RefSeq lists it as uncharacterized. The record is from RefSeq and is a predicted model, not a curated record. NCBI's taxonomy places the organism in Eukaryota, Viridiplantae, Streptophyta, Magnoliopsida, Solanales, Solanaceae. The transcript is spliced from 2 exons.
CUGACUUGUGUGGUGUUGUAUAAAUAAUGGUAUUUUGUAAAAAGUAUUUUCUGGGCAAACAGUUAUUCUUCUUCAUCUACAGUUGCUAGGCACAGUGAAAUGGUGUUGUCUAGGACUACUCUCAUAUUUGACGAUGGCUGAUGGUGGUUUUUAUCUUUCCCUAACAUUUUUAAUAGAAAAAAAAAAAAAAAAAAUCUUGUUUGUCUUUCCCUAGUGAUGACUCCCUUCUGAUUUCAGUUUCCUUGUAAAAUUUGUUCUCUUUUUUUUUGCCCCCUCUACGGGCGAGUCUGCUACUACUUACUGUUAAUUUUUUGGAUCUAGAUCUGACUUGAUUUAGGUGACAUAUGACAGAAAAUACAAGAGGAAUUCUUGAGGUUUGAAAGGUCUUUCUGGUACAAAUUCUUCAAUAACAAGGGGAAAGACUUUUCUAUGUUUUUUUUUUUUCGGGGGCCGGGGGGGGGGGGGGGUGCGGGAGUUGAACCAGGUAAUCAUUUUAGCAAUUAGUCAAAUAAUGCAAGAACGAUUCUAUUUAUUUUACUUUAUUCUAUUUUUUGGUGGGUAGUUGAAAUUGGAGGUGGUACUUGCAUAAUGAAUCAGGUGGAAUUGGAAAGAAAAAUUAUUUGUUAGUUGAAAAAAAAAAUGCUCUACUUGGGCAGAUGAAUGAAGCUGGUUUUGAUCUGGAGAAAUCAGAAAGCAAAAAUCUAGGCAGGGUCACAAAAAGGAUAUGGCUAAUAGUUACAGAAGGUUGGAAGCUUCAUUCCGGCCAGAGGCGGACCAAUCCUAUUACGAAGUGAUUAUAGACAUCCUUUUAACUUCGAAAAAUCUCCCUCUCUCUCUCUCUAUAUAUGAUAUAUAUACCUUGAAGAAUCAUAAUAUAUAUAAAAGGACCCCUGAAAGAUAUUUGCGGAAUUGGAGCAACUUUGGGUCCUUGCGCGCCAUCCGAGUUGGAGUCUUGGUUACAACAAAGAGUUUUGCGCCAAACUUCGCCACAAGUAAUUUGAAUAUUUAUUGUAAAGACAUUUGUUAUUGGUGCCCCUCAACGCUAAAAUUCUGAAUCCACCUUUAAUUUCAGCUUUAACUCGGGAAGGAACCACAAAUUGAAAGAGCAGGUCACGGCUUUGGUCGUUUCCUUAGUCAUCCGAAGAAAUGCUACACAACAGUGCUACAAGGGCAUUGAGAGUUUUUUAUAGUAAGCAGGGGAAUAAAUGCAAGCAGAUGAAUUCCCGUAGAAUACAAUGGAUAUGUUUGGUAGGAAGGAAAAUGUUUUCUAUUCUCAUUAUUUUGUGUUAAAUAUAAUGAGAGUGGGUCUGUUCUUUUGUUGGUCUUUACUCUUUACCAUGCAACAAACAUUUCCCUUUGAGAAGUGGAUACAAAAUUCAUCUGUAUCUCGUGUAAUUUGGGGGUUGUUAAAAUAAACAGUGUUUGGAAAAAAUAGUAAA